This 83-nucleotide transfer RNA is filed under the name Gemmatirosa sp. RNAcentral's name for it is "tRNA-Leu". It matches the Rfam family "tRNA". From Rfam's summary of the family: Transfer RNA (tRNA) molecules are approximately 80 nucleotides in length. Lineage: Bacteria; Pseudomonadati; Gemmatimonadota; Gemmatimonadia; Gemmatimonadales; Gemmatimonadaceae. RNAcentral also lists the same sequence under 2 other names. The record is from RNAcentral.
GCCCGGAUGGCGAAAUCGGUAGACGCAUGGGUCUUAAAAACCCUGGCCCUCUGGGCGUGCGGGUUCGAGUCCCGCUCCGGGCA